UACGAAGGGGGCUAGCGUUGCUCGGAAUGACUGGGCGUAAAGAGCUCGUAGGCGGUUGGGUAAGUCGGGUGUGAAAACUCUGGGCUCAACUCAGAGACGCCACCCGAUACUGCUCUGACUUGAGUCCGGUAGGGGAGUGGGGAAUUCCUGGUGUAGCGGUGAAAUGCGCAGAUAUCAGGAGGAACACCGGUGGCGAAGGCGCCACUCUGGGCCGGAACUGACGCUGAGGAGCGAAAGCGUGGGUAGCAAACAGG
This 254-nucleotide ribosomal RNA is filed under the name uncultured bacterium. Its description in RNAcentral is "partial 16S ribosomal RNA". It matches the Rfam family "Bacterial small subunit ribosomal RNA", at positions 524 to 776 of the family's 1533-position model. The record is from RNAcentral.